GUCCCCCUGCAAGGGGGUGACCCUGUUGGUCUCGGAUGUCUUUCUAAAUCAAUCAAAUCUAUGAUGAGAUCUUGCUACAUAUCGACCUUCCUUGGGUAUAGUUAGACGUCCGAGAUGUUUCACGGUCUCCCCUGAAAAGGGGGAC
RNAcentral lists this microRNA precursor (145 nucleotides) under Spodoptera frugiperda (fall armyworm). Its description in RNAcentral is "microRNA sfr-mir-10455 precursor". Lineage: Eukaryota; Metazoa; Arthropoda; Insecta; Lepidoptera; Noctuidae. The record is from miRBase by way of RNAcentral.